AAACCGGAGGAAGUGGGGAUGACGUCAAGUCCUCAUGGCCUUUAUGUCUAGGGCUACACACGUACUACAAUGGCCGGUACAAAGGGCAGCCACUCAGCGAUGAGGCGCUAAUCCCAUAAAGCCGGUCUCAGUCCGGAUCGCAGUCUGCAACUCGACUGCGUGAAGUUGGAAUCGCUAGUAAUCGUAGAUCAGCAUGCUACGGUGAAUACGUUCCCGGGCCUU
This 222-nucleotide ribosomal RNA is filed under the name uncultured Desulfovibrio sp. Its description in RNAcentral is "partial 16S ribosomal RNA". It matches the Rfam family "Bacterial small subunit ribosomal RNA", at positions 1160 to 1382 of the family's 1533-position model. Lineage: Bacteria; Pseudomonadati; Thermodesulfobacteriota; Desulfovibrionia; Desulfovibrionales; Desulfovibrionaceae. The record is from RNAcentral.